UACGAAGGGGGCUAGCGAUGUUCGGAUUUACUGGGCGUAAAGGGCGCGAAGGCGGAUUUUUAAGUCAGGGGUGAAAUCCCGGAGCUCAACUCCGGAACUGCAUUCGAUACUGAAAGUCUGGAGCACGGUAGAGGUGAGUGGAAUUCCGAGUGUAGAGGUGAAAUUCGUAGAUAUUCGGAGGAACACCAGUGGCGAAGGCGGCUCUCUGGACCGUUGCUGACGCUGAGGCGCGAAAGCGUGGGGAGCAAACAGG
Molecule: ribosomal RNA, 253 nt
Filed under: uncultured bacterium
Lineage: Bacteria
Description: partial 16S ribosomal RNA
Rfam family: Bacterial small subunit ribosomal RNA
Source: RNAcentral